UUUAAAAGAUCAUAUCAUUCGCUCUUUCUCUUCAUCUCCGUUAAAAAUCCGUUGCCGGUGAUCGUAUCACCUUCGAUAAGAAGUAAUCAUGGCUGGAGUAGGGCCGAUCUCUCAGGACUGGAAACCGGUGGUGGUCCGCAAGAAAGCCCCCAACGCCGCCGUCAAGAAGGACGAGAAGGCUGUCAACGCCGCCAGGCGCAGCGGCGAUGAGAUCGAGGCCAUCAGAAAAUUUACUAAAUAUCUUCACCAACGCCGCAAGAAAGCCCCCAACGCCGCCACCAAGAAGGACGAAAAGGCCGUCAACGCCGCCAGGCGCAGCGGCAAUGAGAUCGAGACCAUCAAAAAAUAUUGGAAAGUAUUCCUACCUUGCAAAAUGCAACUCAUCUUCUCAUCUUCAUUCCUCCUAUUGCAGGCAUUGGUGAUCCUUUGCUUUGUUUGCAUAAAGACCUGCAAAAUCUAUUGACUUCUGGGAAUCUUGAAUAUUUGUGAUAUCUAUCCACAACCGGUGUCUAUGGAGAUUGUGGAGGAAGCAAUCGGCAGGGGAUUUUAGAGCGGGUAAUGCAAGUGGAAUGAGAGGAUGGCAGACAUUGAGAUCGAAAAUCAACUAAAGAUAUUUAUACGAGAUCACAAUAUGAGGCAUCAGCUGCUAAUAAGGAGAGCUUCUUUGCGAGAAAAAUGCAAGAGAAUGAUUCGAGUCCUGAAGGGCUUCCACCAUCUCAAGGAGGUAAAUACGUGGGGUUUGGAUCAUCACCAACACCUGCACCCAGAAAUAACUCGCAAGGGCAGGGGGAUGUGAUGUCAGUUGUUUCUUAGCUUUGGAAGGUGAGUGCAUGUGAUAUAUGUGAGAUUGCUACGAAUUCAGUUUACCAAUCUGGCUUUUCACAUGCUCUUAAGUUUUGGAGAGAGAAGAUGCAAUUGGUUUAUCCAGGCAAG
Asparagus officinalis (garden asparagus) is the source of this 933-nucleotide RNA transcript. It is a transcript of the gene named multiprotein-bridging factor 1b-like, with no coding region annotated. NCBI's taxonomy places the organism in Eukaryota, Viridiplantae, Streptophyta, Magnoliopsida, Asparagales, Asparagaceae. The record is from RefSeq and is a predicted model, not a curated record. The transcript is spliced from 7 exons.